UCACGAAUACUGUAACUCAGCCGUCGAAUGAAUAGAGCAAACGACGGCGACAAUCAACCAUAAUAAGCAAAAACAAACACGAGUAUAGUCGGAAAUACAGUUCGACACUUACCGGAAUAUGAAAGGUCUCGAAUGCAGCAAAGAAACUACGACGAACUCACGGCGACUUCUUCUCUUCACAGCGACUAAAGGCGAGUUUGAAGACUGAAACAGAGAGAGCGUCGGCGGCGAGUACUGUGUAGAAGGCGAGUAUUGUCUUCAUCGUCGGCGGCGAGGAAUUUCUCUGUCGCGAGAGAGAAAGUUUUUUUUUUUUUUUUUUUUUUCAAUUGUGAACAGUGAAGAGAAAGAAACUGUUCAGUUUCUCUUUUGUAAUUAAUGAAAGAAUAACUGUAAAUGAUGAUGUGGCAAUUUCGGAUCUGAUGUGGCAAUUUCGGAUCUGAUGUGGCAAUUUUAAGAGAAAACAGAACAAGGGUGUUAAUU
RNAcentral lists this long non-coding RNA (480 nucleotides) under Capsella rubella. RNAcentral's name for it is "long non-coding RNA (CRUB_LNC002198)". Lineage: Eukaryota; Viridiplantae; Streptophyta; Magnoliopsida; Brassicales; Brassicaceae. The record is from RNAcentral.